RNAcentral lists this ribosomal RNA (834 nucleotides) under uncultured bacterium. Its description in RNAcentral is "bacterial SSU rRNA". It matches the Rfam family "Bacterial small subunit ribosomal RNA", at positions 64 to 896 of the family's 1533-position model. The record is from RNAcentral.
GAGGGGCAGCACGGGUAGCAAUACUUGGUGGCGACCGGCGCAAGGGUGCGUAACGCGUGAGCAACAUGCCCGUAUCAGGGGAAUAAUCCAGGGAAACUUGGUCUAAUACCCCAUAGCAAUUAUUUGAGGCAUCUUAAAUAAUUUAAAGCUUUGGUGGAUACGGAUUGGCUCGCGUGACAUUAGCUAGAUGGUAAGGUAACGGCUUACCAUGGCUACGAUGUCUAGGGGUUCUGAGAGGAAGAUCCCCCACACUGGAACUGAGACACGGUCCAGACUCCUACGGGAGGCAGCAGUGAGGAAUAUUGGACAAUGGAUGGAAAUCUGAUCCAGCCAUGCCGCGUGCAGGAAGACGGCCCUAUGGGUUGUAAACUGCUUUUGUAUGGGAGCAAUAAGGUCUAUGCGUAGACUGAUGAGAGUACCAUACGAAUAAGCAUCGGCUAACUCCGUGCCAGCAGCCGCGGUAAUACGGGGGAUGCAAGCGUUAUCCGGAUUUAUUGGGUUUAAAGGGUGCGUAGGCGGUUUGAUAAGUCAGCGGUGAAAUAUUUCAGCUUAACUGAAAGGGUGCCGUUGAUACUGUCAGGCUUGAAUAUGGUUGCUGUGGGUGGAAUGUGUGGUGUAGCGGUGAAAUGCUUAGAUAUCACACAGAAUAUCGAUUGCGAAGGCAGCUCACAAAGCCAUUAUUGACGCUGAUGCACGAAAGUGUGGGGAUCAAACAGGAUUAGAUACCCUGGUAGUCCACACUGUAAACGAUGAUAACUCGCUGUCGGCGAUACACAGUCGGUAGCCAAGCGAAAGCGAUAAGUUAUCCACCUGGGGAGUACGACCGCAAGGUUG